ACGCGUGUAGCAAUACACGAGUGGCGAAAGGGCGAGGAAUAGAUUCCUACGUACCCCGGAGUCAGGGAUAACCAUCGGAAACGGUGGCUAACACCUGAUGAUCUCGAAAGAGCAAAGUUUACGCUCUGGGAGCGGGGAAUCUCCUAUCAGCUAGUUGGUGAGGUAACGGCUCACCAAGGCUAAGACGGGUAGCGGGUGUGAGAGCACGGCCCGCCGCAUCGGGACUGAGACACUGCCCGGACUCCUACGGGAGGCUGCAGUAACGAAUCUUCCGCAAUGCACGAAAGUGUGACGGGGCAAUGCCGCGUGUGGGAUGAAGCCCUUCGGGGUGUAAACCACUGUCAGGGUCUAGGAACACAAUGACCAUACCCAAAGGAAGCACCGGCUAACUCUGUGCCAGCAGCCGCGGUAAUACAGAGGGUGCGAGCGUUAAUCGGAAUCACUGGGCUUAAAGGGUCCGUAGGCGGGGCUGCAGGCGUCGAGUGAAAUACCACGGCUCAACCGUGGAACUGCUCGGCGAACCGCAGUUCUUGAGGCGAGUAGAGGCGAUCAGAACGAUAGGUGGAGCGGUGAAAUGCGUAGAUAUCUAUCGGAAUGCCAAAGGUGAAGACAGGUCGCUGGGCUCGUCCUGACGCUGAGGGACGAAAGCGUGGGGAGCAAACGGGAUUAGAUACCCCGGUAGUCCACGCCGUAAACAAUGCGCACUGGGUCGGGGAGGUUU
This 721-nucleotide ribosomal RNA is filed under the name uncultured Planctomycetota bacterium. RNAcentral describes it as "bacterial SSU rRNA". It matches the Rfam family "Bacterial small subunit ribosomal RNA", at positions 66 to 832 of the family's 1533-position model. Lineage: Bacteria; Pseudomonadati; Planctomycetota. The record is from RNAcentral.